RNAcentral lists this long non-coding RNA (1214 nucleotides) under Oryctolagus cuniculus (rabbit). RNAcentral's name for it is "lncRNA (ENSOCUG00000035720.1)". Lineage: Eukaryota; Metazoa; Chordata; Mammalia; Lagomorpha; Leporidae. The record is from RNAcentral.
AUGGGCAUGCGCAGCAGGACCAGGGCUAUUUGUUCCAGUAUUGCUCUCUGCUGGACACAGGGUCCCUCGUCAGAGGAAGUUGCUGACGGAGUAAGUAAUGUACACCCCCCAGGCCGGAUCUCUCCACGGAGAUACAGGAGGAGAAGCAAUCCAGGCGAACCCAGAGCUCAAGUUCUGAUGGAUCCCGCAAAGCGCGAGCCAGGGACACAUCUGGUUUACCAAGUCAGUCUAUAAUACACCAGUGAGCUCUUCAGAGAAACCACACCAGCACACUAUUUGAGACUUGGAAGGAAGAGGAGGAAAUGUGUUUGACAAUGGACAUUUUUCAGCACAGAAUGAACGCUACAAUGUGACGGUUAUUACUACCACUGGAAAAAGCUCAGGCAUCCAUCUCGGUAGGAGGCCAACCCUCGCGGUUAUCAUUUUCCUGUAGGUGCUUGCUGUCUGCAACAGGGAGCUCUUCCACAGCUGAAGGGGCACACACGGGGAGCGGAUAAAGCAGGGACCUGUCUAGGCCCCAGCUCUCCUGCAGAGUCUGUGCUCACUUGCCACGACCUCCAGCCCGCAGUGAGUUCCAACAUGCAACAGGGACACCCAGCCUUCACCCACAGACUCUUCAUUCAGCAGAUAGGAAUGAUGCCGGCACUGGGCUGGGUGCUCACCAGACAGUAAUGUUUCUGUGGAACUUGACCACAUUCUGAAUCAUUUUCCCUGUCUCUGUCUCCCACCUCCGACCAAACUGUCAACGCUUCAAAAGCUGGCUAUGUUGUGUAUCUGAAAAACAGCCAUUGAAAAUAUUGAGCGUUACAUUGGGCCAGGUCCAUGUAAAACUCCACAAAGAUUAACACAGGGCCCCCCAUGGAGUAGGCCCUCAACAAAUAUUGAUUGCUUGAAAAACCGUGGCAUCUAACUUGUGCUGACCAUGGGGGUGGUGGGAACUGCUGCGGGUAAGCCUUGGUAAGUUUGUGGCUUCCUCCGAGAGCAGCCUGGGGCUGUUGUCUCCUCCAGAUACCUGUACAUGUGUGUUAGGAGCUGAGGGUGAUUUUAUUGAUGGUGUCUAUAGUUGUGCAAAUUUUCUCCUUGGAAUAUGCUAUUUCAGUUAUGCUCAAGCUCAUAAAACACUUUGGCACCAGCAUUUCAGAGGCAUAACAAUUUUAACUCACGGCAGAGAUGGUUGCAAUAAAAUCGUGGCUCUGCUUUUCUUCUGAAAUGCU